GAUGAACGCUGGCGGCGUGCCUAAUACAUGCAAGUCGAGCGAACAGACGAGGAGCUUGCUCCUCUGACGUUAGCGGCGGACGGGUGAGUAACACGUGGAUAACCUACCUAUAAGACUGGGAUAACUUCGGGAAACCGGAGCUAAUACCGGAUAAUAUAUUGAACCGCAUGGUUCAAUAGUGAAAGACGGUUUUGCUGUCACUUAUAGAUGGAUCCGCGCCGCAUUAGCUAGUUGGUAAGGUAACGGCUUACCAAGGCAACGAUGCGUAGCCGACCUGAGAGGGUGAUCGGCCACUCUGGAACUGAGACACGGUCCAGACUCCUACGGGAGGCAGCAGGAGGGAAUCUUCCGCAAUGGGCGAAAGCCUGACGGAGCAACGCCGCGUGAGUGAUGAAGGUCUUCGGAUCGUAAAACUCUGUUAUUAGGGAAGAACAAAUGUGUAAGUAACUAUGCACGUCUUGACGGUACCUAAUCAGAAAGCCACGGCUAACUACGUG
This 497-nucleotide ribosomal RNA is filed under the name uncultured bacterium. Its description in RNAcentral is "partial 16S ribosomal RNA". It matches the Rfam family "Bacterial small subunit ribosomal RNA", at positions 28 to 507 of the family's 1533-position model. The record is from RNAcentral.